GUGCCCGUAGCUCAGUAGGAUAGAGCACCAGAUUCCUAAUCUGGGGGCCGCAUGUUCGAAUCAUGCCGGGCACGCCA
Molecule: transfer RNA, 77 nt
Filed under: Candidatus Pelagibacteraceae bacterium
Lineage: Bacteria; Pseudomonadati; Pseudomonadota; Alphaproteobacteria; Candidatus Pelagibacterales; Candidatus Pelagibacteraceae
Also listed under: 1 other name
Description: tRNA-Arg
Rfam family: tRNA
About the family: Transfer RNA (tRNA) molecules are approximately 80 nucleotides in length.
Source: RNAcentral